Long non-coding RNA from Taeniopygia guttata (zebra finch), 620 nucleotides. RefSeq lists it as uncharacterized. The record is from RefSeq and is a predicted model, not a curated record. NCBI's taxonomy places the organism in Eukaryota, Metazoa, Chordata, Aves, Passeriformes, Estrildidae.
AUCAACUUAGCUUCAUUUAAAAUUGCUGUAGAGUCUUAAGGUCAUUUCAGUCAUCAGACAGUGAUGAUUUAUUCCCUAGAAUUAAAUAGGCACACUCCAAACCUAAAUAGAAAUGAAGGAUUUGCAGCAUAUUACAAUAUUCUAUAUUGGCACUGAGCAAGAAGCCCUCCUGAAUGAAAGCAAAUGACUUUUUGUAGCUGUAGCAUGGUAAUUGCUUGAAGAACAACAACAAAAAUCCCAACAAAAAAACCCAGCAAGCUAUUUCUGAAAUACAAUGCACCAACAAAAUAAGAAAUGGAAUUGAAUGAGAAAAAUAUAUCUGCUGAGGAUGAAAUCAGACAGCAGGGAGAAUUUAUAGCCCUGUGCUAAUUUCCUACUAUCAGACACUGAGCUGGAUGGGAAAAUGACAGAAGAGAACCUUAUCCAAUAGACGUGGCAGAAGUGAUGGGUUUGAAAGAUGACAAUCUUCAUCUGAGCUGCAAGAAAUCACAGAAGUUUCCAGAAGUUCAGUUCUUCCUAAACUCCUCAGAAGCAGGAACAACACAUUAUCUAAUGGAGAUUGCAGACCUCCAGCGUGUAUGAAACCAUGAAUAAUAAAAUAAAUAAAAUAAAUUCACUCA